CGUGCCUCGGCAGGCAGCCCUGUGGGACAGAGCCUCGCCCCCCGCUGGGGGGGUGCCUGCCGCUGGCCGACCAAAAACUCUAGCUGUUUAGUACCAUCUGAGUCUUCCACAAAUGAACAAAACUUUCAACAACGGAUCUCUUGGUUCUGGCAUCGAUGAAGAACGCAGCGAAAUGCGAUAAGUAAUGUGAAUUGCAGAAUUCAGUGAAUCAUCGAAUCUUUGAACGCACAUUGCGCCCGCCAGCACUCUGGCGGGCAUGCCUGUUCGAGCGUCAUUUCAACCCCUCAAGCACAGCUUGGUGUUGGGGCACUGCGUCUCCCGCAGGCCCCCAAAUCCAGUGGCGGACGCGCCAGGUCCCCGAGCGCAGUAGUCUCUUCUCGCUCCGGGCGGCCGGCGUGGGCUUGCCUCGCCCCAUCUCCACAAGGUUGACCUCGGAUCAGGUAGGAAUACCCGCUGAACUUAAGCAUAUCAAUAAGCGGAGG
RNAcentral lists this ribosomal RNA (482 nucleotides) under uncultured fungus. RNAcentral's name for it is "eukaryotic LSU rRNA". The stretch from base 121 to 274 matches the Rfam family "5.8S ribosomal RNA". The record is from RNAcentral. Lineage: Eukaryota; Fungi.